Molecule: long non-coding RNA, 569 nt
Filed under: Phoenix dactylifera (date palm)
Lineage: Eukaryota; Viridiplantae; Streptophyta; Magnoliopsida; Arecales; Arecaceae
Description: long non-coding RNA (PDAC_LNC021252)
Source: RNAcentral
AGAGCUACCUUCAGGGAUCUAGAUCCAGAUUCAGAUUCAAAUUACCUCGACCAACUUCCGCUACGGGCUUGAGGUAAUUUUACAUAAAAGUUAAAUUUAAUAUUUAUAAUUGUUAUAAAUAAAAUAAAAAAAUUUAAAACUAAUUUUUCAUGCCUGGCGUUCGAUUUUAUCGGACAACUCGGAAAAUUUUUCCUUCAACUGGUAUCAGAGCCAGGUUGGCCGAUGGAAUUGGCCUAUAACAUCUAGAAUUAUGCAUGAUUUAAUUUUUAAAUUUAGAUUAGAUAUAGAUUUAUUGAUAAAAUAUCAAUCUUGUGCUGAAUUAUAAGGUUGUCCUGCUAUAAGGUUAAUCCCUUAUAGUAAAAAGGUUGUCCUAGCACAAAAUUGAGAUUAAUUUGUAUCAUAAAAUAGUUUAUUUUUGUGAAAUUAUGCAUAAUUGAUGUUUAUGAAAUUUAAGUUUUAAAUUUAAUAUGACCACAAAGUUUAAAUAUAAAUUGUUUAUAUUUGGAAUAAAUUGACACCUUGAAUCCAUGAUCAUAAUACAUUUAAUAAAGAAUUAAAUGUUGAAUUUA